AGAGUUUGACCCUGGCUCAGGACGAACGCUGGCGGCACGCUUAACACAUGCAAGUCGAACGAGAGAAGAGGAGCUUGCUUUUCUGAUCUAGUGGCGGACGGGUGAGUAACACGUGAGCAAUCUGCCUUUCAGAGGGGGAUACCGAUUGGAAACGAUCGUUAAUACCGCAUAACAUAAUUGAACCGCAUGAUUUGAUUAUCAAAGAUUUAUCGCUGAAAGAUGAGCUCGCGUCUGAUUAGCUAGUUGGUAAGGUAACGGCUUACCAAGGCGACGAUCAGUAGCCGGACUGAGAGGUUGAUCGGCCACAUUGGGACUGAGACACGGCCCAGACUCCUACGGGAGGCAGCAGUGGGGAAUAUUGCUCAAUGGAGGAAACUCUGAUGCAGCGAUGCCGCGUGAGGGAAGAAGGUUUUAGGAUUGUAAGCCUCUGUCUUCAGGGACGAAAAAAGACGGUACCUGAGGAGGAAGCUCCGGCUAACUACGUGCCAGCAGCCGCGGUAAUACGUAGGGAGCGAGCGUUGUCCGGAAUUACUGGGUGUAAGGGGAGCGUAGGCGGGAUCGCAAGUCAGAUGUGAAAACUAUGGGCUUAACCCAUAAACUGCAUUUGAAACUGUGGUUCUUGAGUGAAGUAGAGGUAAGCGGAAUUCCUAGUGUAGCGGUGAAAUGCGUAGAUAUUAGGAGGAACAUCAGUGGCGAAGGCGGCUUACUGGGCUUUAACUGACGCUGAGGCUCGAAAGCGUGGGGAGCAAACAGGAUUAGAUACCCUGGUAGUCCACGCCGUAAACGAUGAUUACUAGGUGUGGGGGGACUGACCCCUUCCGUGCCGCAGCAAACGCAAUAAGUAAUCCACCUGGGGAGUACGACCGCAAGGUUGAAACUCAAAGGAAUUGACGGGGGCCCGCACAAGCAGUGGAGUAUGUGGAUUAAUUCGAAGCAACGCGAAGAACCUUACCAGGUCUUGACUUCGUAUGCAUAGCUCAGAGAUGAGUGAAAUCUCUUCGGAGACAUAUAGACAGGUGGUGCAUGGUUGUCGUCAGCUCGUGUCGUGAGAUGUUGGGUUAAGUCCCGCAACGAGCGCAACCCUUACUGUUAGUUGCUACGCAAGAGCACUCUAGCAGGACUGCCGUUGACAAAACGGAGGAAGGUGGGGAUGACGUCAGAUCAUCAUGCCCCUUAUGACCUGGGCCUCACACGUACUACAAUGGCUGUCAACAGAGGGAAGCAAAGCCGCGAGGUGGAGCGAACCCCUAAAAGCAGUCUUAGUUCGGAUUGUAGGCUGCAACCCGCCUACAUGAAGUCGGAAUUGCUAGUAAUCGCAGAUCAGCAUGCUGCGGUGAAUACGUUCG
This 1346-nucleotide ribosomal RNA is filed under the name metagenome. Its description in RNAcentral is "bacterial SSU rRNA". It matches the Rfam family "Bacterial small subunit ribosomal RNA", at positions 8 to 1374 of the family's 1533-position model. The record is from RNAcentral.